Molecule: ribosomal RNA, 461 nt
Filed under: uncultured bacterium
Lineage: Bacteria
Description: partial 16S ribosomal RNA
Rfam family: Bacterial small subunit ribosomal RNA
Source: RNAcentral
GACGAACGCUGGCGGCGUGCCUAAUACAUGCAAGUCGAGCGGUAAGGCUCCUUCGGGAGUACACGAGCGGCGGACGGGUGAGUAAUACGUAGGAACGUACCCCAAAGUGAGGAAUAACCAGCCGAAAGGUUGGCUAAUACCGCAUAUGCUCUACGGAGUAAAGCAGCAAUGCGCUUUGGGAACGGCCUGCGUCCGAUUAGCUAGUUGGUAAGGUAAAGGCUUACCAAGGCGACGAUCGGUAGCUGUUCUGAGAGGGUGAUCAGCCACACUGGAACUGAGACACGGUCCAGACUCCUACGGGAGGCAGCAGUAGGGAAUUUUCCACAAUGGGCGAAAGCCUGAUGGAGCAACGCCGCGUGCAGGAUGAAGGCCUUAGGGUUGUAAACUGCUUUUAUCUGUGACGAUUAUGACAGUAGCAGAUGAAUAAGGAUCGGCUAACUCCGUGCCAGCAGCCGCCGUAA